GACGAACGCUGGCGGCGUGCUUAACACAUGCAAGUCGCACGGAACGGCCCUGCUUUUUUGGGGUGCUCGAGUGGCGAACCGCUGAGUAACACGUGAGUCACCUGCCCACGACUCUGGGAUAACUUCACGAAUCUCGCGUUCAUACCGCGUAGGAGCUCCUGCCGCAUGGUGGGGGAUGCAAAGUUUCGGCGGGUGGGGAUGGACUCGCGGCUUAUCAGCUUGUUGGUGGGGUAGUGGCUGACCAAGGCUUUGACGGGUAGCCGGCCUGAGAGGGUGACCGGCCACAUUGGGACUGAGAUACGGCCCGGACUACAACGGGAGGCAGCAGUGGAGAAUAGUGCAUUAUGGGCGGAGGCCUGAUGCAGCAACGCAGCGUGCGGGAUGACGGCCUGCGGGUUGUAUACCGCUUUCGCCUGGGACGAAGCGUGAGAGACGGUAAUGGGUAAAGAAGCACCGGCUAACUACGUG
Molecule: ribosomal RNA, 468 nt
Filed under: uncultured bacterium
Lineage: Bacteria
Description: partial 16S ribosomal RNA
Rfam family: Bacterial small subunit ribosomal RNA
Source: RNAcentral